GAUGACUUAAUAUUUGUUCUGUUCAUCGCAGCAGUAUUUAAAUGUCGUUGUACAGUAGGUUUUAGUAUGUGUACCCGUUUGAAUAAUCAGUUUAAUGGUGAGGGCGCCACAUGUUUGAUUCCCGCGUUUCAUAGCGUACCCUUUGUAUGUAAAGCCUGUUUUGCUUCGCGCGUUCACUACUGUCGGUGUCACCGCUAAUGUGUGUCCCAUCGAGCGUCGGCAUGCCAAAAUGUAAGUUAAUUUAGUUCUAACGUUCUACGGCAGUGUUAUUAUAACUUCAGAAAGCAUGUGUCAUAUUCAUAGUGUUGACGUAGAUGCAGAAUAGGUUUCUCACCUUGCCGAUCUGUAGCAUCAUGAUAGAAUGCUUUAUAGUCUCCACCAUAAUCUGAAGCAAGAUCAGAAACCAGGCGAAGUUACAGCUGCACAGGCCCCAUGGUUUUCUCAGACGGCAAAGCCUGUUUCCACC
Priapulus caudatus is the source of this 466-nucleotide long non-coding RNA. RefSeq lists it as uncharacterized. The transcript is spliced from 3 exons. The record is from RefSeq and is a predicted model, not a curated record. Lineage: Eukaryota; Metazoa; Priapulida; Priapulimorpha; Priapulimorphida; Priapulidae.